Molecule: long non-coding RNA, 4455 nt
Filed under: Salvia miltiorrhiza (redroot sage)
Lineage: Eukaryota; Viridiplantae; Streptophyta; Magnoliopsida; Lamiales; Lamiaceae
Description: long non-coding RNA (SMIL_LNC006202)
Source: RNAcentral
AGCGUAGAAUUUUAGUAAUGGGAAUGUUGUUUGGUAUAGAAAUAGACAAUAAAUGUAGGGAUUAAGUUAAUGGGGACCGCUAAUCAAGAUAGUUAAUGCUACAAUAAGAGCUAAUUGGACGCAACAUGGAAUAGAAAUUUCAUGAAUCCACCCGUUGCUUGCCAAACUAUGGGGACCACAAGUCUCUAUCUUGGAUUUGUGGUCCAUCGAAUCUGGAAUGAUUGAACUAUUCAGAUAUGUUAUUUGAAAUAAGAAAAAAUUCAAAUAAUUUUGUGAACAAUAGCGAAUUGGUAUGUACGAGAAAGAUACGAAUACAAACGUACGUAUGUACGUAUAUACAACUGUUUAGCCUAUCUGAAACAAUCACUUAUCCAUCGUGGGCAAAACAUAAUAUGUCCAUCAUUAAUGUGACAAUUUUAAUUAGAGUAAGAUAUGUUAAUUCUCUUUCAUAAUUAAAAUUAUCACAUCAGUGAUGAACACAUUAUACUUAGCCACGGUGGUAGGUGAUCGAUUAUGGUCUAUCUGAAUACUUGAUAAAACAAAACGACUUGAAUGUCAUGCAGCCCAAUGAGAUGCCACCUUAUAAGGAAUCUAGGAGUCCAAAUUCAAUUUGGGCCAGUAUUGUAACUAGGGUGCGCUCUCUAGGCCCUAUAUAGAAUUCACCCAAUGCUGUUACUAAUAAGAUGGGCUAAAUCGAGUUUGGCCCAAGGCUUUCCAUCUGCAAUAUGAAUGCUGCAUACGUCUUCCAAUUUUGCGUAGACGAAAAGGAAAAGGAGGAAAAGAAACAGAGAAAGCAAACCCCACUAUAAAGCAAGGUAGCAUAAUUAUUUGGGCCUUGGCAAUAGAUUUGUUCCAGUGCACCUAAUUUUAAGUAUCCACUGCCAAUUUCAUUCAUGCAUUGUGCAAAAAUUGCGAGUACAUACUACAUACUACAGAUCAGGCAAUAUUUAUUAGGUAGAUAAUUACUAAAAAUGCCAACUAUAUCGGAUAUUUAAUUUUUUUUGGAGGAAUAUCUGAUAUUUAAUUUAAAUGAGCAAAUAAGUCAAGACCCUUGAUUAUUUUGAACAAGCAAUUAAACCUAAAGAACGAGGAUAUAAUUUAAUCAUAUCAUUCUUCUCUUUAUGCGUCAAAGUAUGUAUAUAAUUUUGUUAUUUUAAUGGCAUGUUUAAAAUUUUGUUGAUAUAUAUAAUUACAAAUAUGUCAUUGCAUAUGAAUUGGGAUAGAGAUGACCUCACACAAUACUACACAUGGUGGAACCAUAUGCAAGUUAGGGUGGGCUUCCAAUUUUUCAUUUUUUUAGAAACAUUUUUUACAUGUAGUAAUUGAAUUAAGAGAUGUUAAACAUAACAAAACCCGUCAUCCACCUGCUCUUGAAACAUUCAAGACACUACCGCAGUUAGGAAUUUGGAAAGUCUUAUUCAGGAAAUGGUUAAAAAUGACAACUAUUAAUUUUUCAAUUAAUUUAUCAAAUAAUUGAGUUGAUAUUUAUUUUAUCUGUAGUCAUUGCUUCUGUUGAAUGGUAUUUUCUGUAAUAAAAAUUAUCAAGAGUGACUUGCGAAAUUAUAUGAAAAAUGAGUGAAUGAAUGAAAAUUUAGUUGGAUAUUUUCUAAAUAGUUGAUAACACGAAAUCUUGCAAUAUUUUCAAUUGAUGAAUACACAUUGAAAUGAAUUGUUAUUGUUUUUUCAAACAAAAACAACUAACUCGUAAAUUAUUUAUUCUUAGGUUAUUUGUAGUGUAUUAUUGGAUCUAUUAAUGUGUAAAAACAUUGUUCAUUUUUAUUAUUGUUAUGUUUUUUAAGGAAAACAAAAACAAAAAUAAAAACAAAUUGUCUGAAUUGUCCAAAACAAAAUUAGCUUAGCCCCCGAAUCCCAUAGAAACACAGAGAAUUUAUGGCUCCGCCACUAGAUACUACUCCAAAAAGCAAGAUUGUCAUAUCAAUGAUUUCAUUGAAAUGAGAUUCUGAUUAUUUUAAAGCAAACAAUUGCAUUCCAUUAGUUCAUGAUUAACACGAAAUCAGAUUAUAAAGAGACGAUCAUGAUGGUAGGAUAGGGUAGACUCCUAAAACGGCUAAGGCAAGUCAUACACCCUAGCUAAGGAUACCUUUGCGUCGACAAAACAACGCAACUAUUGCACUGUCCAUCACAAGAAAUAUCAAAGCAUUUGAACGUACCACAAGCUGAACAGCUGUCCUCGUACAAAAAUGUGGACCAAACCACAUAAUACAGUAUUCACUAUUCACCCACAAUUGUACGACCUAACCAAAUUUAAUAAUAUUGUACCAAGCCACUGGAUUGAAACAUAGUAAUUUCACAACAAAAAUAGCCAAGUGCCCACUUUGCUUCAAAUUCAUUGGCUGCCCAGCAUCCAAAAAUUCAUGUGGCAUUUUUUUUACCAAGACAAUUCAAUAAAAUAGUUGGAUGGACAACACGUGUCCGGACAUGAGUGGAGAGUAAAUUUUUUAAUUAUUGAACUUCUCACUUUCCAGCCAAGUACCUAACAAUACAUUAUGGGGAAACGACCCUCUUAGACAACGACCACCAAAACAAGAAAAUGAUUACUGGGUGGAGUCAUUUGUGAAGCGGCAAAUUAUAAUAAUUUAAUGCACAAGCUAUUUUUAAAUACCAUCUUUAUUUUCUAAUUUUACUAAUCUAGGGUAAUAACAAGGAAGAAAUUGAGAGGUAGAAAGUGGUCCACAUAGUGAGUUGGUAUUAACCGUGUGAGGUACACAAGAUUUAACCGUCUCAGAUCAGCAAUGCAUCUGGCAUGAAAAUACCUUAGAAAGCAAUCUCUGGAGUCUGAACCGUUUCCAGAUUGGCUGAGAUAAGCUUUGAAAGUACAGCAAAACAUGAUAAAUGCAUGUGUAGGCAGAUGAGUUGUACAUUCCAAGCUUUAUAUCAAGAAACUGAUGUAGGGUCACAUAAAAGUUGAGUUUUAUUGGAAGAUUAAGAGUGGUAUCAAAUUUAACUUUUAGGUCAACAGGGUUGCAAAUGACCCCUACCCCUCCCAUAACAUACUUUAUCAAGCUUUUAACACCAAAAAUUGUUUAGUACAAAAUUAGACUACGCAUUCAAGGAAAAAAGGAAAGAUGGCAUCAGUACCUGUGGUCCUGGCCUAUUUCUGCUCUCUUUUCCACCAGUCAAGCUCGACUUAUUCACCUUGUUUUCACUUUCUUCAUCUGGUUACUACUCCUCAGGCAUUCACUCUCCAAGAUUCUCGCCAAAGGAAUGGAAACCAGCAAGGAAGAAGGGAAGAGGAUCCUCCUGGUACCUGAAUUGGAUGAGGAAGGUGAAGAUGACGAAGAUACUGGAGAAGAUAGCAAGAAAAAAGGAGCCUUGACUCCCUCCAAAAGAAGAGUAUCUGGUGCAGGAGGAUCAACACAGCGUUCUUGUCAGGCAGAAGACUGCACCGCUGAUAUGGCUGAUGCCAAGCCUUACCAUCGUCGACAUAAAGUUUGUGAAUUUCAUGCCAAGGCUGCAGUGGUUCUUCUUUCCGGCUUAAGACAGCGUUUCUGCCAGCAGUGCAGCAGGUUUGGUUCCUAAAAUUUGCAAUUAAGUUAACUUCAGUAUAUAUAUACAUAUCAUAAAUAUAGGAAAACAGGAGCUUUUGUUUCAGUUUUCCUGGUAAGGACAUGGCAAAUCAUGUACUGCUCAAUUCAUACAAUUGGGAGCAGGGCACGGGGGGGAAUAAUGAAAAGAAUCUAGGUAGUAAGACCACAGUUCCACAGAGAAGCGUUAUAAUUAAUUGAAGUCAUAGAUUCGGCAAGACUAAUUCUGUGCUACAUAAAUCUAGCGCAUCAAGCAACGGAAGCUAACACGGAUAUAAUAAAGAAAAAUUUAUGAUACAGAAAAACCUGUAGAUCGCACAACUUAUAACAUGUUUGUUCAUCUAGGGCCAUGGUAUCCUAUAAUCCCCAAUUGCAAAACAAACACCUAAUGGACAGAGUCUGUUGCCUAACUUAGCCAGGAUAGAACAUAUGUAUGAAGACAACAAGAUACAAUAUGUGCAUCCUGUUCAGAAUUCACUCUCUCAUCAUCAUGUGCAGGUUUCACGAAUUAUCAGAGUUUGAUGAAGCUAAAAGAAGUUGUCGCAGGCGUUUGGCAGGGCACAAUGAGCGACGGCGCAAGAGUUCGUAUGAUUCUUAAUGAAAAGAGAUGUAACGAAAUAAUUUGGUUUCUAGAGGAAGGCAAAUUCACUGAAUCUAAGAUUAAUGAGGACGGCCUUACAAUGAGCCCUACUCCUCCUGAGGAUUCAGUUUGCUCUCUAUCUUCUGUCAAUUGCUGGAUUUCUUCCCACAAAGAACCAGCUCAGUUUGUAUGAGUCAAAUAUUUUGUAACCGUCUCUUGAACUUGUGGUUUGAUUGGUAUUGACAACAUAUGUCAUGCCACCUAAGGAAGCUACCAAAAUAAUGUCAAACCUCCUUUGAUUAGCUUUAUUUAUCUUUACUUUGAUCUCUU